GACGAACGCUGGCGGCGUGCUUAACACAUGCAAGUCGAACGGAAAGGCCCUGCUUGCCGGGUACUCGAGUGGCGAACGGGUGAGUAACACGUGGGUGAUCUGCCCUGCACUUCGGGAUAAGCCUGGGAAACUGGGUCUAAUACCGGAUAGGAGCCAUUUUUAGUGUGAUGGUUGGAAAGUUUUUUCGGUGCAGGAUGAGCUCGCGGCCUAUCAGCUUGUUGGUGGGGUAAUGGCCUACCAAGGCGGCGACGGGUAGCCGGCCUGAGAGGGUGGACGGCCACAUUGGGACUGAGAUACGGCCCAGACUCCUACGGGAGGCAGCAGUGGGGAAUAUUGCACAAUGGGCGCAAGCCUGAUGCAGCGACGCCGCGUGGGGGAUGACGGCCUUCGGGUUGUAAACUCCUUUCGCUAGGGACGAAGCUUUUUGUGACGGUACCUAGAUAAGAAGCACCGGCUAACUACGUG
RNAcentral lists this ribosomal RNA (465 nucleotides) under uncultured bacterium. Its description in RNAcentral is "partial 16S ribosomal RNA". It matches the Rfam family "Bacterial small subunit ribosomal RNA", at positions 28 to 507 of the family's 1533-position model. The record is from RNAcentral.